This 964-nucleotide long non-coding RNA is filed under the name Mytilus galloprovincialis (Mediterranean mussel). Lineage: Eukaryota; Metazoa; Mollusca; Bivalvia; Mytilida; Mytilidae. The record is from RNAcentral.
UGGAGUUAUAAAAUCUUUGUAUUGUGCUACCUUAAUCAUGACUCUUGUACUUAUAUUAUUAUAUGUAUACUAUAACAUGUAAAUGAGAAGACCUCGUGUUUUGUGUCGCUUCUCUCCCUUUCACAAUAAAUAAAUCAUCAUGUCUUUGUGUCCUAUAGGAACAAUGCAUAGUCGCAUUUGUCAUCCUCCCUUACGAUUAUUCCGUAUGGCUAAUGUUGGAAGAACACGAAAAUAAAGGGGUACUUAUAUUAUUUCCGUUAUUUGACGGACGUUUAAGUCAUGGACAAAACUUCUGUUUACGACUGUAUAUUUGGGGACAAGACAAUUGUUGAGAGACGUCUCCCUUUUAUUUUUCUAAAAUCUUAUUUUUUGGUUUUCAAUAAAUUUCAAGUAUUUUCCAUACAUGAUAUAGAGAUAAUAUAUUAUUGACUGCCGUGGAUGGUAAACUAUGAAUACACUUUAUUCUUGGUUUAUGUAUGUGUAUAGUAUAUAGAAAAACCCGAAAAGAAUUUAAAUUAUUAGAAAUAAAAAAAAAAUGGAUUUUGGAGAAAAAAAGGGGAGGGCUAAAACAUAUUGUACUGUCCCCAAGUACAAAUGACUUUUGAUACCCUUCCUGAAAUGCUCUUGCAUAUUAUUUUUUUUAUUAUAGAAUGCUCUAAAUUCCAGCGAUUUCGCGGGUAUUUUGAAGUUGUUUUUAAAUUUAAAUGGAAUGCCUGUCUUCAUCUUAUUACACACCAUGAUAUUAUGGUAGUGUGAAAUAUUUUGUACUUAACCAUAUAGGAAAUGUUUCGAAAAAACAACAAGGAUAACAUGUCAUAUUGGAAACUGUUUUGAAUAUCAAAUAUGAAAAAUAUUUGUUAAUAAUCUUAUUUGAAUGCUUUAGUCUUUUAAUUUCCUAUUCACAUUUUGUAACAUGAUUAAACAUUUAAUAGUGUUUGAUUCGAUUUUGGUUAGUUUAAUCUGA